Molecule: ribosomal RNA, 482 nt
Filed under: uncultured Sulfurospirillum sp.
Lineage: Bacteria; Pseudomonadati; Campylobacterota; Epsilonproteobacteria; Campylobacterales; Sulfurospirillaceae
Description: bacterial SSU rRNA
Rfam family: Bacterial small subunit ribosomal RNA
Source: RNAcentral
UUAAGGAAUUGAACGGGGGCCCGCACAAGCGGUGGAGCAUGUGGUUUAAUUCGAUGAUACGCGAAGAACCUUACCGGGGUUUGACAUGCAGGUGAUCGCCGUUGAAAGACGGUUUCCUCUUCGGAGGCACCUGCACAGGUGCUGCAUGGCUGUCGUCAGUUCGUGCCGUGAGGUGUUUGGUUAAGUCCAGCAACGAACGCAACCCCUGUGUCCAGUUGCCAUCAGGUAACGCUGGGGACUCUGGACAGACUGCCCGUUCACGCGGGAGGAAGGUGGGGACGACGUCAAGUCAGUAUGGCCCUUACAUCCGGGGCUGCACACGUGCUACAAUGGCCGGUACAAAGGGAAGCAAUGCCGCGAGGCGGAGCCAAUCCCCAAAACCGGCCCCAGUUCGGAUCGGGGUCUGCAACCCGACCCCGUGAAGCCGGAUUUGCUAGUAACGGCGCAUCAGCUACGGCGCCGUGAAUACGUUCCCGGGCCUU